RNAcentral lists this ribosomal RNA (253 nucleotides) under uncultured bacterium. RNAcentral's name for it is "partial 16S ribosomal RNA". It matches the Rfam family "Bacterial small subunit ribosomal RNA", at positions 524 to 776 of the family's 1533-position model. The record is from RNAcentral.
UACAGAGGGUGCGAGCGUUGUCCGGAAUCACUGGGCGUAAAGGGCGCGUAGGCGGCCCGAUAAGUAGGGGGUGAAAUCUUGCGGCUCAACCGCAAGGCUGCCUUCUAAACUGUCGGGCUGGAGCACGGUAGAGGCAGAUGGAAUUCCCGGUGUAGCGGUGGAAUGCGUAGAGAUCGGGAAGAACACCAGUGGCGAAGGCGGUCUGCUGGGCCGAUACUGACGCUGAGGAGCGAAAGCGUGGGGAGCGAACAGG